RNA transcript from Nelumbo nucifera (sacred lotus), 2006 nucleotides. It is a transcript of the gene named UBX domain-containing protein, with no coding region annotated. NCBI's taxonomy places the organism in Eukaryota, Viridiplantae, Streptophyta, Magnoliopsida, Proteales, Nelumbonaceae. The record is from RefSeq and is a predicted model, not a curated record.
CGAGCUGGAAAAAUCCUCUCCCGCUGAGUCGGCUGAGAUAUUCUCUCAGCCCUCUUUUCUGUAAACCCUAGAUGACAUCAUUUCUCUUCUCCAUGAUCUUAACCCUGGAUUUUUAAAACCUUCAAACAGUUGGGGGAAGACGAUGGAGAGUGUUUUGACAGCGACGGAGAAGCAGAGCAUGGUCUCGUCCUUCCUUGAAAUUGCUGUGGGGCAAUCAGCAGAUACGGCGAGACAGUUCUUGCAGGCAACAAGCUGGAAGCUUGAAGAAGCUAUUCAGUUGUUCUAUGUUGGAAAUGAAGGUGGAGGACCCUCGUCUUCCCACUCUCCACCAGGAGAAGAUGUUCAGCCAUUGCCUGAAGAAAGUUCAAGUGGACAGGCAAAGGACAUUGUAAAUGAAAAUGUUGGGCAAGAUGAUGCAAGUGAAGUACGCCCUCCUUUACCAGUGAAAAGAGAGGCUCUUUAUGAUGAUGCUAUGCUGUAUAGAUCUUCAAGGAUGGGAUAUCCAUCACAUGAAACAAGUUCCAUGAUUGCAUUUCGUAAUUUUGAUGAGGAGAUGAAACAGCCUGGCGUUUGGGAAUCAGACCAAAGUGCUGCAUCUACAACAGAUAGUCCUCGAGAUAAUCUUGCUUCUUUGUAUCGUCCACCUUUUGCCUUGAUGCACCAUGGUUUCUUUGAGAAGGCAAAGGUUGCAGCUGCUGCCCAGGAUAAGUGGCUUCUAGUAAACAUUCAAUCUACCAAGGAGUUCAGUUCACAUAUGCUGAACCGAGAUACUUGGGCAAAUGAGGCUGUAGCUCAGACAAUUAGCACUAAUUUCAUUUUCUGGCAGGUAUAUGAUGAUACAAGUGAAGGGAGGAAAGUCUGCACCUACUACAACUUAAAUUCUAUUCCUGCAGUUCUUGUGAUUGACCCCAUAACUGGGCAAAAAAUGCGCUUAUGGAAUGGAAUGGUUCAACCUGAGCGUUUAUUAGAGGAUCUGCUACCAUUCAUGGAUAAUGGACCCAAGGAUCAUCAUGUUAGUCUACCUCAUAAACGUCCACGGGAGAGUUCUCAGACUCCCAUUCCAAAGCUACAAGUUGCAGAGGAAACCAACGAAGAGGACGAGGAGGUUCUACUAGCAUUGGCAGCAUCUAUGGAAAACACAAAACCAACUUACACUGAUAAAGAGGAACCCAAAACUGAAGAGGCUGAAAGCAGCUCUGCUAAGAAAACUACAUAUCCACCUCUGCCUGAAGAGCCCAAGGGUGACAGGAACCUCCUUUGCAGGGUUGGUAUCCGCCUUCCUGAUGGACGUAGGCUUCAGCGGAAUUUCCUCCGCAAGGAUCCAAUACAGUUACUUUGGUCCUUCUGCCAUGCUGAACUUGAAGAGUCAGAGGCACGGCCAUUCCGCUUAACUCAAGCUAUACCAGGAGCUUCAAAGUCUCUGGAUUAUGACAGCAAGCUGACCUUUGAGGAGUCGGGAUUGGCAAACUCGAUGAUCUCAGUUACUUGGGAUUGAAAGGGUUGUGUUUUGAUAGUUUUAUGAGAUUUCUACCUCUUCGACCGCCUCACCAUCUGCACGGAAGAAUUUUGAUGACACUCUUUGUUUUUGUCCAAGUGAUGAGUUGGAUUUCGGUGGAAUGAAUAGGAGGUCAACUGACUGGAUCAAAUCAACAAAUUAUUGGGGUCUAUUCACUAAAACUGGGCUCAAGUGCUUGGAUCGUCUUCCUGACACCAAUUCCUUUUUUUUUUUGGCGCAUCUAGUGAUGUAGGGGUGUUAUUGGGUCGGGUUAAGUGGUAAACAUAAGUCAACAUCAAUGAAGUUUUGGGUCGGGUUGGAAUUGAGCCUGUUGACAUUUCAACAUUGAAACGUUUUAUAUGCAUGGCAUUGGUUUGAGUAUAUAUGUUCUAUAUGUGAUGGGUUGGAUUGGGUUUGGUGUUGUAUCUAUGGUUCAAAUUAUCCUUACUUGCUAUAUGCAAAAUUUGUAUAUUGAGAGUUUUUAUUGAGCAAAACUCUAAUCCUUUUCACA